This 18346-nucleotide long non-coding RNA is filed under the name Homo sapiens (human). RNAcentral's name for it is "HSALNT0394652". The record is from RNAcentral. Lineage: Eukaryota; Metazoa; Chordata; Mammalia; Primates; Hominidae.
AGCCGGAAGUGGCAAUCUGUUUGGGUCUCCUUCUACAGUGUGGAGGUUUUAUUCUUUUGCUCUUUGCUGCAAAUCAUGCUGCUCACUGUUCGGGUCCAGGCUGCUUUAAUGAGCUGUAACACUCACUGCGAAGGUUUGUAGCUUCUCUUUUGAGGCCAGAGAGACCAUGAACCCAGGGGGAGGAAUGAACAACUCCAGACGCGCCUCUUUAAGAGCUGUAACACUCACCGCCUAGGUCUGCAGCUUUGCUCCUGAGCCAGCGAGACCAGGAACCCACCAGAAGGAAGAAACUCUGGACAUGCCACCUUUAAGAACUGUAACACUCACCGCGAGGAUCUGCAGCUUCAUUCUUGAGGAGCUCCCUGAAAGGCUGAAAUGUCAGCUUGUCAGUGUUUCCUGUAUGCCUGAGCGCUCUCUCCCUGGUGAGACGCAGGGCCUGCUCCGUCAGGAUGGAUGGUUUAAUCCCACCUGCCACUGGGGGGGGACCCCGGUUGCUUCACACCAACUCCUGAGCUCCUCAAAUGGGGAGUGUCACGAGUGGGCAGGGGCAGCUUCCCUGUCUGAGCACAUUGGAAACAAGUCCCGGUCAUUUGCAUCAGGACUGCCUCGAGGCUUUUCAAAUUCAGACAACAUCUGGUCUCUGCAGAGAAAAAUAACUAAUUCACACUGUGACCUCCCAGAAAGAUCACCACUUCGUCCUGAAGCACUCCCUUGCCGGCAGGUGUUAAUGCCAGGUAAAAAGAGAGCCCCUGUCUAAUAGUCUCCACCUCUGGAAUGGAAAAAGCUGAGCUGGGUCAAAGGAGCGUGACUUCUGGGCAGCCCCUGGGUAGACUUCUUUCAGGAAUCUGCCUCCUUCUCCACCUCCACUUAACCUCUUUCUUUAGACCCUCGCAGAAAGCUGGAGUCAGGCAGCAGAGGCUAAGAUGGCUGUGCCUGGGCUUGGUGAGGCCAGAGAGCAAAGGCAUCUCUGCACCAUCUCAGAGACCCUUUCUCAGCCCUUAGCUACCUUCGAGCCCCAGCUCCAGUGGGCUCUCUCCGCACCAUGAGAGGACAUCUCUCCAACCUCCUCCCUGCAUCUUCUUGAGAACUAGACACCCCUCUCAGAGUUAGGGGUGUAUGCGCCCCAUCUUCUCUGCACAGAUUAUGAUCUCUCUCAGGACACUGCUUUAUGCCCAGAACGCCUGUCCAGGGGAGGCUUUUCUAUAAAUGUUGAAAGAACAAAAUGAAUGGGGCCCAGCUCCAUGCUCAGCACUACCUUGUCUCCACGCCACAUUUCUGAACAUCUCUUUCUCUAAUUUUCGACCCUCAACUUGGCCUGUCAGACAGUGUUGAACUUCCCUUUCCCUGUCUUUCUCAGGUGCAGACUUUUCUUUGCUACCUAGCAUUUACAGAAAUUACAAAUCUUCCUCCUUUCUCAAUUUGGCCUCUGUCUCAGCCAGGAUGUUGGGCUGCUGCUUUGACCCGUUCUCACAAACUGACAGCCAUCACCAAGGCCAUUGCCCUUGCCCAAGAAGAAAAAUAGGGCAACAUCCUUUGUGUUCUUAGAUUGAUUAUCCCAGAUUCAUUCAAAGGACAUGAAUUCAAUAACAUCAAGCUCUCCUCUACCCAAGCAAUGGGAAGUGCAGGUUUCCCUGCUAGUGACCCACCUUACAUGCGACAUGUGCCACCCGCUGCCUUGAGGGUUGAAUCUGGAGCUGUAGGCCAUCUCUCCAACAGGAUCACCAUUGCAGAAACUCGCUAUCCUUUUCAUGUUGGAUAGAUAUAGGGGGUUGAGUAGCAUCCUUGCCCACCCCAUCCCCAAAGUCACGUCCUUCCCAGAACCUCAGAAUGUGACCUUAUUUGGAAAUCACAUCAUUACAGAUGGAAUUUCUUAAAUAAGGUCACACUGGAGCAGGGGAGGCCCUCAAUCCACUGUUACUGGUGUCUCAUAAGAAGAUGACAAAAGACAGAGACACACAGGGGGAAUAUCAUGUGAUGUUGGAGACAUAAGUUAAAGAGAUGCGUCUAUCAGUCAAGGAACUCCAAGGAUUGCCAGCAAACCCGGAAGCCAGAGGAGAGGCAUGGAACAGACCCUCCCUCAGAGCCUGCAGAAGGAGCCAACCCUGCCAACCCCUUGAUUUCAGUCUUCCAGCCCCCAGAACUGUGAGACAAUCAAUUUCUAUCACUGUGAGGCUCUUGGUUUGUGGUCAUUUGUUAUGGCAGCCCUAGGAAUCUAACAUAAUGGAAUAAAGAAUCUUGUAUUUGAGAUCUUUUUCAAAUAUUUUCAUUUUUAAAAAUCUUAACUCUAUAGAAUUUUACUAAAUGGGUCUUUUUGUCCUUAACCUCUAAUUAGUAUAAUUUUUUAGCCUAUCUCUUUAUGUGAAUCUAUCCAUCCUCUCUCACAAUGUCCAGAAUUGGAACACUAAAUGUACUCCACUGAACAGCAUUCAGACCAGGCGCACUGGCUCACGCCUGUAAUCCCAGCACUUUGGGAGGCUGAAACAGGAGGUUAGCUGGAGCCCAGGAAUACAAGACCAGCCUGGGCAACAUAACGAGACCCUAUCUCUACAAAACAAAAACAAAAACAAAAAAUAUGAAUAGCAUUCAAUAUAUAGUCUUUUCUCAACUAUAUUCCCCCUGGAUGAGAGUGGUCCCUGCGAAUGACCUCGAGACCCUGUUAAAAUGCUGAUUUGGAUUCAGUAGGUCUGGAGUGGGGGUGGAAUUUUCUGCAUUUCUACCAGGCUCUGGGGGGUAUUGAUGUCACUGGUCCAGGGACCCCCUCUCCUUUGAGCAACAAGGAGAUAAACUACUCAAAAGUGGUGAUCUACACUCAUCUCUAUUUGACUUUGGAAAUGCCUUUAUAUUUAAACUGGAACACAAGUAUAUCUUAUGUUUAUGAAGUUAGAGGCAAACAAUCUAAUAAAGUCACACUGAAACAUCCCACCUGGAGAGGAGCUAUGGAGGCUGUUUCCACAGUCCUGCCCUCACUCAACAAAGAUUUAUUCAAGAUUUGCUAUGUGUUAGAAACUGUGCCAGGCUGAUGUCUUGCUUAAGAACGAUUCCUCUCUCCUCUCAUCCUAAUAAUGAAUGGCAUAGCCUUUCAGACUCACACAGAAAUCACCAACUGAUAGCAGCAGGGUGACUGCUUUCUCUCUGGGAUCCGCUCACAACCGUGCUGGACAAUGUAUUGGCUCCAAACACACCUGGAGAGCAGGGGUGGAGGAAAGUCACAGAAAUUUCCAGCCCCGGCUGAGUUAGAGAAACCAAGGUUCUUGGCUGGCUUAAUAAAGGAAAUGGAGACAGGCAAGGCAAACCCACUGAAAAGUUUUCCUGCACUUUGGUAACCCAUUAGAUGCCAACCAGAAGCUACAUUGAACAGCUUGAGCUUGAGAUCCUUUCUGAAGAAGUUUUAACGCAUAGGGAAAGGCUACAAGGACAAGGAAUUCGAGGUCAGGAUGGGGGUGAAGAAUUGAAACAAAGCCAUGGUCUGGUGUGUGAUGUGUGUGUGUAAAAUAAAGCCAGGCUGGACUUAGGCUCCGGUAGAACGGAUUGUCACCUGCAUGGAAAGGGAGGGACAUGGGGAGCCUUCCACCUGGAAACAGCAAGAGAUUCCCGGAGUGCCACUCAUACCCUUCAUUUUUCAUGUGUACUCAUUGAUUUCUUCAUUGAUCAGGUAUCAGCUGUGUGCCAGACACUGUAGGGGAACUAAAAGGAAUUAAUUAAUAAGCGGAGCGGCACUUUCCCAAAAGCGGCCAUCUUGGAGCAAGCUGUCACAUCUCAGCGGGAGGAAGUUCUGUGGAAACGCGGAGGGUGCCAUUUUCACACUGCCGAGCAGAUUCCUACAAGAGUUCCUACAGGAAAGAUGGUUUGGGGUUUAUCUGGCAGAGGGAACAACAUGGUAAGGUUCAGAGGCACGUUGUGAGCCAGAGCAGGUGUUCUGAGGGGAGAUGCCGUCGGAGGAUGUGUGAAAAUGUUUCAAAGCCGUGCCGUGCCAUUUCUCCUGUGGCAUGCUGGUUUCCAAAAUACGUUCUCAUGAGCAACAGUCCCACAAGAGUCUUUGAAAUUCUGUGAUGUAAAUGCUGUGAGAAAUGCUAUCUGAUAUCUCUCCUAGGCUUGGUAUGGUAGGUAGCUCACGCCUGUAAUCCCAGCACUUUGAGAGUCCAGGGUGAGAGGACUGCUUGAACCCAGCAGUUUGAGACUAGCCUGGGCAACAUAGUGAGACCCCACCCCUACAAAAAAAAAUUAAAAAUAGCUGGGUGUGGUGGUGCAUGCCUGUAGUUCCAGUUUCUUGGGAGGCUGAGGCAGGAGGAUUACAUGAGCCCAGGAGUUCGAGGCAGCAGUGAGCCAUGAUCAGGACUCUACAUUCCAGCCUGGACAACAGAGAAAGGCCCUAUCUCAAAACAGUCAUAAUAAUAAUAAUAUCUUUCCUUGUCCCUAGGACAUUCAAAAUACACAUCAGCUCUUUAAAGACCAUAUGAAGUCUCACACUAAAGAAGUCUCCUGGCCGGGCAUGGUGGCUUAUGUCUGUAAUCCCAGCACUUUGGGAGCUGUAAUCCCAGCACUUUGGGAGGCCGAGGCUGGUGGAUCAUGAGGUCAGGAUAUUGAGACCAUCCUGGCCCCGUCUCUACUAAAAAUACAAAAAUUAGCUGGGUGUGGUACCGUGUGCCUGUAGUCUUAGCUACUCAGGAGGCUGAGGCAGGAGAAUCGCUUGAAUGAGGUUGCAGUGAGCCAGGAUUGUGCCACUGCACUCCACCCUUGGUGACAGAGUGAGAGUCCGUCUCAAAAAAAAAAGAAAGAAAAAAAGAAACUUCCUAAACUUAUUCAACCUAGGGUUUCCCAAAAUUACUUGACAACAGAAAUCUUGUUUCACAUAAUUACUUUGAAAAGCACUUUUAAAAAUUCAUGGAGCUUUUGAGGGCGGGGACGUGGUAGUGUAACCAGAUCUGUGUUUUCUAGAGAAGUUGUCCCCCUUGAGGAUGUCUACAAGGUGACCUUCUCUUGGGGCAGGUAACCUUCAGCAACUUAUCUGAACAAAUGCCAUCUGAGCCACCACUGCCCCUCCCUGGGCCAGUCAGGGGAGCCUCCAGGCAAUUCGCCCCUGCUUUCCGCCUGGUCCAGGUGGUGCAGGUCAGAUCUUGUCAUGGCCAAGCAACUGCUUGGAUGGCCCCAUCUCCCUCUGAACAAAGUCCAGCCCCUCCCCUUGGUUCCUGGCACUCUCUGCCUUUCUUGCCCAGUGCUAUGGCCCCUCCCUCAGGCCUCAGUUGAAGCCACAGUCCCAGCUACCCCCAACAGAAACCAAGCCCUGGCUCUAUGUUCCCUCAUAGCCUCCCUGGCUGGAGAAAAAAAAAAAAGAAUACAAAAAGUUCCCUCUUUCUGCAGAAAAAUGUGAGAGGAGGGCAGAGGUGCCCCACCUUCAAUGAGUCUGGUCUCUGCGUCUGCUGGCAACAUAUUCUAGAAUCCCUGUACAUUUGCACAGUUUCUACUCUCAUUGCUUUUGAUGGCACCCUCAACCAGGAGGUUCUGUGAGACAGGAGUCCCGAAGAAGAGAGCUCAGAGAAGAGCCCAGGGGAGGGGGAGAAGCACUCAUCUACUAUGGGUCCGUUUUUGAGGUCGCAUGAGUCCCAUCCCCAUGAAUAUGCAGGAAGCACACAGUCCAUUCGUUAGUAUCUGAAAUGGAAACGAAUUGAAGACAAAGAACCGAGGAGGGGGCGUUGUAGGUAGACACCCACCAGAUAAGCAGCCUGAGAUUCGCCCACUGUCCUAAGCCCCAGAGCUCUGAUCCCCAAAGGGCUGUGCUGGUUUUAUCUGCAAAUGGGAGUGAAACCACCUUUGCAGAAAUUAUAACUGAGAAAAUUGUGACAGUGAAAGAGAUCUGACUGAACUGACUCCGUCUUGCUUCUCACCUCCAAGCUCUCCUUGUUCUUUCCUGGGCAGAGGCCAAACUAACUUGGGGAGGAACUUAGUUUAUAGUUUGACUUUGAAACAAAGACGGUAACAGCCCUUUCCCAAAACAAACUCCCUUCUUGCCUGGGAACUAGACUGCCUUUGCAGGACUAACAAAUUAGCCAAAAGAUUAGAAAUUAUGGUUUAGGAGUCAUGCAGCUGGAGGCUACAAGGUUCUAAACUUCCCCAGUUUCUCCUAGGGAUGACAUCACAAUUGUAAAACCUAAGCCUGGUGCUUGAGAUGUUUUUCAGACCCUGCCCUCGAUGGAUCAACUGGCGCCUCCCAGAUCAAUAAACUGGCUCAUUUAGUCUUGUGGCCCCCACCCAGGAACUGACUCAGCACAAGAGGACAGCUUUGACUCCCUACGAUUUCGUCUCCCACCUGACCAAUCAGCACUACCCCCACUUCCCGACCCCCAAUCCCCAAAUUUUCAGGGAGACUGAUUUGAGUAGUAAUAAAACUUCAGUCUUCCAUACAGCUGGCCCUAUGUGAAUUAAACUCUUUCUCUGUUGCAGUUCCCAUCUUGAUAAAUCGGCCAUGUCCUGUCUAGGCAUACAGGCAAGGAGAACUUGUGGGGCGGUUACAGGAGCCUCUGCAGGGCCACAGGGCAGGUAAUUGAGGUGAGGGAGAAGCGCGUCAGCAUUCCCACUAGGUACAGGCUUUUUGAGAAUUCACCAUUCAGAGGAGCAGCUGGGCUGACGCCCUGGGUGGCAGUGAGGGUGGAUAGAGGCAAAGCCACAUUUCCAGUGUGCUCCAAGUUGCACAGCGAGGGCUGCAGGGCCUUCCGUAUUGACAAACUCUGAAUCCUCACGAGGGGUGCUCACCACUCUGGAACAUCACUCCGCCGUUAGUCCCUCAUUGUUUUCCCACAGGCUCCUUCCCCUCUGCCUUCAAACAGGCAAGGUCUCUUUAGACACACACACACACACAACACACAGAGGCAGACACAAAAAGACACAGACACAGAUAUACACACAGACACACAUGCACACACAUACACAGGGACACAGACACAGAAACAAAGACAAAGACACGCACACAGACAUAUAUACGCGCACACACACACGCACACAUUCCCCACACCUCCUUUUCUGGCUACCUUCUAGACUUUUCCUUGUCUUUAGUCGACAAACUUGUUUAGUUGCUGGCAUCUUGGCAGCACAUUCCCUCUCUGAUCUGUCAUGAGGCUCCCACCUGGUGACACUACAUUGGCUUAGACCUUCCUGAAGGCAGUGAUAACCUUUUUCUUGUCUAUUCUGGUCUUCACCCCAUGCUGUCCACUCAGGCUCUGUCACCCCAACCCUCUCAGCCAUCCCUGUACCUGCCUCGUGCUUCUGUCUCCUACUGGCCACCAGUCUGUCCUGCAGGGGUGAUCUCGAAUCUACCAGACUUCUCUAGACGUUCUCUCUGUUCAGAUUCAUCUCUGAAGCUGGAUGACAAGCGAUGCAGCACCUGUCCCUGAGUCCUCAGGUCCUGGGGAAUGGACUGGGCAGAGGGACAACUAGGGAAUAGGGUCAGGAGUGGGAGGAACCCAUGGAUCCCAAUUCCAGACAUUUCAACAGAACUGUCCUUUGUAAGACUUCUGGGUAGAGGCCAGGAUACUGCUGUGCUAGUCCCUCCAUGGAGGGGGCAUGUCCUGGCUGGCUCUGUUGGGCCUGGGAGACUCCCCCAUACACUGAGAGCACUGCUAUAGUAGGGUCUGCCUUGCCAAAAACUGCGAAAAUCACCACUGUUCCCUUCAGACUUCCCUCCAGCCUCCAAACUUCCUUAAUGGCAAAGACUGGCCACAUAAAUCAGCCAGCGGGCCAGCCAGCCCUACUACAGAAUGGGCUGACCGGAUGAAGAUGGGAUGCAGGUGGCCUUCCAGGACAGAUGACCCUGUGGCAGGCGGGGACAGGAGCUAUCUGGGGCAUAAAAUUGCCUUUCUCAAGCUGACAGGCCUGUGAGAUUGGUCCGCUGAUGCCUGGCAUUGGGGACUCAGCUGAAAUGUUUGGUGUUCUAUAGUGACAUGGCCCUGCUAUGAGACACUUUAAAGGCAUCAGGAAUUCUGUUCCAAUGUCCCUUUGUUUCCUCUCCUGGCAGACUCAUGCAUUGCUUUAAAUAGUCUGCCUGGAGUCACCACUCAUGCACAUAAGCCUAUUCUCGGGGCGUGUUUCUUCGGAUUAGAUUGUUUCUUCCCACCUCCAAGUUUGUUUUGGCGCUUCCUCUCCAGGUACGGUGGUGGCUCGGCCUUGUGACUGGGCAAAGCAUCCCAGGUGGCUGCCGUCCCCUCCAUCUGCUUGUGGGCAUUGAAGGCAGAGCCUUUCUUUUGGAACUCAGCUUGGCCGAGUGUGGGAGUCUAUUUUGAUCUUUUCUCCUGUUCAUGGCCAGGACCAGAGCUAGGCACGCAGACCCCAAUGGAGCCUGCUUUCUCAAGGCAACUGUCCUCCUGCUACAUGAAUGAAUCAUCCAGGCUUCUGUCCAGGGUCUCGGGAAUUUGGCUUCCAUGUCAGGGACGCUUGACACAAGCCACACAUCCUUAAGCCUCGUCGUUCCUUCCUCCGAGGGUAGAAAGAUGCAAGGCUGGCUGGCAGCCACUGCGAGGGGUGUCCUUUACGGCUGUCCAUAUUAAUCUUAUUUUGGUCUAAUGCUUACUGCCAGGGAAGAAAUCUGCUAAUGGUACUUUUCUUUGUUUUAUUUCAAUCUGGCAACAGGAAAUUGGCUUUUUAGGGGAGACUACAAAGGGCAAAGUAUUGGUUCUGGUGCCCUCUGGUGGUUGAACUGCAAUCUCGUCGCCUCCCCGGGAACUCCCCGACUGGCUGGAGAGAAGCAUGAGUUUGCAGUUCGGCUCCACUGCACGCAUGGCUUUAGAUCGGUCUGGAGUUGGUUAGGUUACGUUUCCAAAUCUCCAGUUAUAAAAUUAGGCCUUUUUUCCUUGUGUAAUUUCCAAUUAGAAAUUUGUUCAACGGGUUAGUAUCUUGGGUCUAUCUAGAAAAUGGAUUACUGGAUGUCAAAACAAUCUUACUUGCCAUACUUUGUAACCUGAAAUUUUUGUACUCAACAUUUGCCAAAAGAUUGAGGUGGCUGAGGCACAGGGGAUGUGUUUCCAGACAUAAUUAUAUCUCUGGCUCCCAAGAGAAAUAUGACAUACUCCUGUUAAAAGGAACAUACAAUGAAGUAAAGUUGAAUUAAAAUGAGUAAGUCAUGACAAUUCUCUAUUUUAUUUUAUGAGAUUAGAGUAAUUACUCCUGAAAUAGGAUCAUAGCCUUUGACUUCAUUGAACAAGACAGCAAAACAGGUUGCAUGACUGGGGUGUCAGCAGCCAAAUAUAUGGUCCUGAUUGAGACAUAUGGGAAUUUUUUUUUUUAAAUGACACACGGAGCACUGCUUCUUAUGGUGGUGCUGUUCCCCCAGCUGAACCCUGCCAGGUACCAGCCCCCCCAUAGAACUUGCGACUCUCCCUUUGCAUCAUGAAUGAACUAAGCUCACUCACAGUUGCUUGCUAAGAAUCAAGAGAACUUGCUCGAUCAACCCUUAUUCCUCCAUCUUCUCUCCUGCUGUCUGCAGUCUGCGAUGCUCGCCUUCCUUUCUUCCCCAGCUCAUUUGCCUCCCACCUGGACUUUCCUGUCUGCAGAGUGCCCUUGAACUUGAGCCCUUUCCAAGUCUGUCCUCAUGAGUUAUCUCCCUUUUGCAGCUUUGACAUUCACUGGAGAACUUUUUCAAUUGUGCCUCGCCUCCCAGCAUUGAGGAUCUGCCGUUCACUUUGGGGUGCUGACUUCAAGCAGGAAAGACUUCUUGACUCCUGCCAGCAAGCAGGCUGCCCCAUGCCCCAUGCCCCAUGCCCCAUGCCUCCUCACCUGUGAAGUGAGGAGGUCGGGCUUGAUCACUGGUUUCCACUCCAGAGGGGUUCCCAGGAGCCUCUAAAGAGGUCUCUCAACCACCUCUUAUGCUCUGUUUGGAGAAGUUUUACCUUUUCAUCAGUUUUUCAAACUGUGAUUGUAAGAUAUAUUUCUUUUGGGAAAAAGACUGUGGCUUAAAAAGGUAACGUUUAAAGAAAAGUUUUUAAAAAACAAAAGACAAGAAGAUCUAAUAUCCCUGCCAAAGCUCUCAAACACUUCAGAAUCUCCUCCUCUCCCAGCUCCUGCUCCCUGGCCUCUCCUUGGGUGGGAAGGCAAUGAGUAAGUAAUACUUUAUAGACAGCAUUCUGCACUGGGCUCCAGCCGUCAGUGCUUCUAAUGGGUCUUGGGCAGCUGUCCCGGGCCAGAUAAGUCACAUUAAAGCUGAGAACAAAACCAAAGGAUUGGAUUUCUUUUUAAAUCAGGAGGGGAAAAAAUGUACCACUUGAAGCUCCCAGUCGGUCUGGGUUCCUGGAAGCUGUUGACUUGAAUUUAAAAGAUGUCUUCAAUAAUCAUGACCAUCUUCAUUUUUGAAACUUCUUGGGCAGGUUUCUUCUUUGUUUUGGUAGAGAGUUGUUCUAAAUAACAGCACGAAAUUUGCCUACUCUGGUGUCAGGCUAAGACAUGAGGAGCGAAGGGAAACUAAUAUUUAUCUAGCUCACUUCCAGUUUCAGGGGCUAGGUGUAGAUUAACUGGGGGAAUACUCAGGGCAAGCCGGAGUGUCCCCAUGCUGUACAUCACUGACUUUAAGAACUUAGUCACAUGCCCACAGUCACACAGCUGGUAUGACGAGAAGCCAGGAUUCAAACUAGGGCUGGCGGAUGCUUGCAUCUGCAAGGUUCUGCAGAACACAUGGAGCCUGGAAAGGAAGGCUCCGUUUGGAAAAUCCUUCUGGGGUCCAGAAGCCUCCAUAAAUAGGGCACCAUAUAAUUUAUCUUCUAAAUGGGUACACUUGUUCAGGAUCAAUGCUAAAGCGUAUGGGAUGUGAGGACAUCAGGCAUAAAAUGGUACCAUCAUGGGGAAACUGCAAUAGACGUUCAUCCCCCUCAUCAGGUAGGCUAGGCAAAUUCCUACGAUGCCAAGAAGCGAGGCUACUAUCAGGAGAAAUGGAAGCAGCAGCAUCAGGGUAUGAACUGGGUCUCGCUCUAAAUCCCUCGUUCCUUCCUCCCCACUACAUCAUAAUCCCUCCUAAUGCGCUGUCUUCACAAGCCCAAGAACAUACCCAAUUCCCUGAAGUGUAUGCCAGCCAGGUCUCUGGUGAGCACAGGGGAGAAGCCUGGAGACAGUUCCAACAUAAAACUUCAUCAUCACUGAGCCAUCCCAGGGAAAAGGUCCAAACCGCAUUCUGGUUCUAAAACCCAACUGGAAGCUUUGUGCAAUCGGCGAGAACUUCAUGAAUCAGACUUACUGACCUGGAGGUUAAAAGAAAGAGCGAUCCCCUUCCUACUUUUUCAGAUUCCUCUACUUCUCUCUGUCCUUUAUUGAAGCUGAAAAUUAGCAUAUUUGUUGGAUCGUGGCUGACACUGAUGGUCUGAAGUAACCAGAAAGCUCCCACGGAUAAGUUGUUCUCAGCCUUGGGAAAGGAAGCUGGAUUCAUCCCACCACUUUAUUUUCUGUGUUUCUGAUGCUUUGACAUCUUGUGCCUUACUGGCCCUGGAGAGACUUUACUCCUCUCAGGGCUGCCAUAUUCCUAGAGAGAGUAAAUGAUCACCUUCCAGAGAGCCUUUCAUAUAUAUGCAAACCAACCAAUCCAGAGCCACACCCCUAAUACCCCCUCUGUGGUCUCUCAUACUGGGGCCACUGUCCACCUGCCCUAAUCACCCCAGUGCAGGUACCAGACACUAGGGCCAGCCCUAUGUCCCAGAGACUGCUGGAAAAUGUCAAAUUAGCCAAUCCUAGGACUGUUUAUCCUCCCUCACCUAUUCCUUCCCGAAUAAACCAUAAUAUUCUUGCCUGCAUUUUCCCCUCACUUCCUCUGCCUCCCAACUGGCCCUGCUGCUUCUUAGAUGGCCCCUGGUGGCCUGGUGCCCCCUCUUGGCAGCUGCAAGUAACAAACUAGCUUUUCAAUGGCAACUAUCUCCUGAUCUGUUGACCUUACGAUACCUCAUACUAAUAAAACCUACAUUUUGAAAUAGAAGCCAUCCCCUCCAAAAGUCAUGAGCUCUCUUUUCCUCCCCCUUACAGAUGGUCUUAGUACGUAGGAAGAGCAGGAGUGGGCAAAGGCGAUGGUGGUUCCAACACAGAAUUGCAUCUUCACCAAGAACAACAAAUGGCUGGCUUUCUCCUCAGUGGCAGUCAAGUAAAGAAGUGGGAAGGGGCAGCUUGUUAAAAAGAUGCCCCAGUAAAAUGUGAUCAUAGCAUCAUCUGUGUGUGCCUCACACUAAGCAAAGCACCACUCUGUAUUAGAAAAAUAAAGCCAUCAUCAAAAACAGGUAACUAAUCACAGCUCUGCCAGAGACAUUGCCUCCUAUGAUUAUCAUCAUGGGGGUCUGUGAGCUGCCUAAAAUACUUUUUGGAGAAAAAUUAAUUUAAAAUAUACAAAUUGAAUUCACUGCAUUCAAUUGCAAAAAAAAUUUUUUUUCAAAGAAGCUUUUAAUAGUGAAGAUAUUAAAUGUAAAAGAACGGAAUAUUCCCAGUUAAAAGGCAUCCAAGUAAUGCCAGCAUUUUCUCCCCGUGGUACUCCUAUUGGUUAUUAAUCUUGAAAUGUGUUUGCAAGAGUUCUCAUUUGUUUCAAAGUUAAGAAACAAAUGUGCUCCCCUGUGAGAACAAAGUCCAUAAAUAUUUUAUGUAAGUGAGAGAAAUGAAUUCAUUCCAAGAACAUUCGUCAUCCACAGUUAGGACAAGAAAUUCACUUUGCCCACCUCAGCCUGACAGUGUCUGCCUGGAAGGUGUCUGUAAGCCCAGUGUUAAUUGAUGCACACUCCAUUUUUUCCUACUCACCCUUUAGCCAGCGUUGCUAUGCCAACGUCAGUUAGCUUCAUUCCUACACCUACAGGAAGAGAAAGCAAAGAUGGGAGUUUGUGUUACUCAGGGCCCCUCAGGAAGUUGGGCCAUCUAGCCCCAGGGAAGGGGUAAUGACAGCUCAUCCUCCUUCUCCUUCCUGCAUAAACACUCGAGGCCUCUUUCAUAUACGCAUCCAGCUUUAGGCAGGGACCAUGGGGAAGGUGGCAGUUAGGGGGAAUCAAGUCUCAUGUGAGCAGACAACCCAAGCCCUCUCGGCUCUGGAAAUGAAGUCCUCUGCCUGCCUGGCCCACCCACCCCAUGACAAGGAGGGAGCUGGCCACUCUGUGAGAAAAUCUGAGGCCUGAUGCUUGUCCCGUAAGCAAUCUCCCCAGAAAUACGGUGACUUUGGCUUAGGUCUGGCUCCCCGUUCUUCAAUGAAAGUGGAAACCCUUACAUGAUGGAAAGAAAAGUAGGCACGGCCUGGGAUAGUCAAUGCCAAUAGCAAGAGGGUUUGAUAUGGUUUGGCCAUGUCCCCACCCAAAUCUCAUCUUGAAUGUAGCUCCCAUAAUUCCCAUGUGUGGUGAGAGGGACCCAGUGGGAGAUAAUUGAAUCAUGGGGGCAGUUUCCCCCAUACUGUUCUCAUGGUAGUGAAUAAGUCUCAGGAGAUUUGAUGAUUUCAUAAGGGGCUUCUCCUUUUCCCUUGGCUCUCAUUCUGUCUGUGGCCUGCUGCCAUGUAAGACGUGCCUUCCGCCUUCCACCAUGAUUGUGAGGCCUCCCCAGCCACAUGGGACUAUGAGUCCAUUAGCCUCUUUUUCUUUGUAAAUUACCCAGUCUUGGGUAUGUCUUUAUCGGCAGUGUGAAAAUGGACUAACACAGGGCUCAAGGGGCAUGUGUUUAGUUCAAAGCCAAACUUCAGACAUAUGAUUUCUCAUUUCCAUAAAGAUCGUUUUUCAAUUCAGGACUGAAGGUUUUCUGGGUGGUCAGUGUUAGACCCCGGGAAACAAUCCUGAGUUCUAUGUAGACACUGAACCAAUGGCCUGGCGAAGCAGACAUUUGGAACACGUGGUCCUUGGACUCAUCCUAACUGCUACCCACUAAACCAUGGUGGGGAUAGGUGGGGGAUAUCAAAACCAAAACAGUAGAACAGCUACCUGAGCUUCCCACUCUGGUUCAGCAAAAAGCAAUAGGCACCCAUUGCAAGCAUAUGGAACCCUUUUUUGCAUGUGCCUUUCCAGCAGGAGGGGUAGGGAGGGUAGCUAGGGAGCCAGGGAGGCAAAGGGAAUAGACUAUCCCACUGUUUUCCACUGUGAGGGAGGAUAAGAGCUGCCAUCCCCUUCUGUAGUGGAAAGAGCCACCCUCUCUCACUCUACCCCCAGUCUCAGCCUGCAUCCUGAACCUCUCUCAGGUCUAGUGGAAAGUAAAGCACUUCCCUGAUGCCCAGAGUGUGGAUUCCCUCUUGACCUUUCCAGAAUCUGCAUGCCCUGACCACGCACCAAUUCCAUUCCUGUCUCCUUAGGGUGAGGGUUAUGGGCACUUGCUCCAACGCAGUGGACCUCUGCCAGGACCUUACCCGUGCAAUCUAGUGAUGACAUUUUAUCCCAUGGCCCAUAGUGCCACCCCACCAGUGUGUCUGCACCUGCUAGAUGCCUGGGUCCUGCCUCCUGUGCUCUUGCCCCUGCCUCUUGGGCUCCAUGGGCCGGGCUGUGAGCACUGGCAUUCCCCACCUCCAGCACGUGACUUGCCCAUGGAGGGCCCUGGCAGCCUAGAAACCAGUUUGGGCUGUGGAAAGAAAAAAACUCAGCAUCCCCCUAAAGCCAGCCAUGAGGAUCAGAUCUGCUGGCCACCUACUUCCGUGGUUCCCCACCCAAGUGGAGUGCUGUUUCUGAGGCCCAGGAAAAGACAGCUAAAGGAUUAAUGCUCGGAUUCAGCGUUAUCUGCUGGGAGCAUGGCAAAAACAAAGGACGUGUUGGGAUUCAGGCUGGUUAGGCAGACAGAAGCCAUGAGGCCUGCUUUUCUGCAGUGCACCUGUGAGCUAAAUUAGACAUGGCACUUUGGGAGAACCAGUGACCAUUUUAAAAGUCUCUUUCGCAGUUGGUAACUAAUUCAUCUCAUUCUUUCAAAGCCGCUAAUAACUCAAACAUAUGUAGAAAUGCUUCACAUAGCUUUUAUUGCAGGGACUAUGCUUUGAAAAAAAAAAAAAAAACCCACCAAAUUGCAAACGCUGUCUCUGGACAUCUUGUUUCAUGGAAAAUUGUAUUUUAAAAUUACAGCUCUAAGCCGUAUGGAAGUCCAAUUUGAAAAAGUCAUUUGGCAAAAGGUCCUUGAACUUGGAGAAUUGCUUUCCCUUGUUUCCCACAAUUACCAGCUGUCACUUACAGUUUAGAAAGACAGAAUAUAAUUUUUAAAAGAAAACUUCCCCCUGUCAGUUUAAUGAUUUGCCAGCAAUUAUGUCAAGGUUACUAGGAAUCUCUAGAGUCUAAAGUUAAAUCCUAGUGUGCAGCUAUCAAGCUGAGUUGGAGAUAACAGUAAUCUACAGGUUGUUUCUAACAGAAGAAAGGAAAUGAACAGCAUUAGAAGUUCAUUCUCCACUUGGCUGGGCACAGUGGCUCAUGCCUGUAAUCCCGGCACUUUGGGAGGCCCAGGCAGGUGGAUCGCUUGAGGUCAGGAGUUCAGACCAGCCUGGCCAACAUGGUGAAACCCCGUCUCUACUAAAAAAUACAAAAAAAUUAAAAAAAAAAAAAAAGCUCAUUCUCCAGAAUUCAAGGUCUUGAGUUUUUUGGGUGACAGCUUGUUAGAAGGCGUGGUAGUCUCACCAGCAUGCAGGUCUCAGGUCCAAAUCACAGGCUCAUCUUUUACCCCACAAACCUGCAGGACCUGGCAUAAUCUUCUAAAUGAGCAAAUGCAGCCAGGAAGAAUUAACUUUUAAAAGUCCAAAAGGGUGGUGAUAGAAUUUGAGUUUAAUUCUAAUUCCAGUGUCUCUGUAAAAUUAUAAAAAGUGGAGUUUCCUUAGAGAAUAGAUGCGCUAUCUCAUGCCACAAUGACAAUGACAGUAAAAAUAUUUUUUGUCCAUCAACAGAGAGUAAAUAAACACCAUUACUUAAUGCCACACCACCACGUUAAACCACACACGUCAUUUACAGAGAGAUGUGAUAUUCCAUUACUGUUGUUUACUAGUACCUGGAAGUGAAACUAACUGUGCAUGAAGCCCUGGGUGCUGCUUUUCAGCAUGAGAGCUGAAUUUAAUACAAAAUUAAUUCGCAAGGAGAAAAGAUGGGGGACAGCAGCAAUUGCACAGCCAGAGUCUAAAUAGAACAAACAGCUGUCUGUUAAGACCAUAUGUUUUGUGUGUGUGUGGCAGCAAAGUCUCUUCAAAGAGUGAAGUCUGACUUAAAUUUGCAGAUUGGCUUCAUCUGCAAGGCGGUAAUGUUGCAUUUCCCAGCUGGCUUGCAAGGAGUCCUUCCAAGGGCUUAGGAGGAAGAACCGUACACAUACCAGAGCCCUCUAACAUCAGGAGAGACUUGGAAAGGUCUGGAAGUAAAUAUCUUGCAAAUUUGCUAAAUUGUUAUUUGUGGAAAGAACUUGGAAUUCAGAGUCAGAAAAUGCGGGUUGGAGUCUUGGACCCCUCUACUUACUAGCUGAGUGACAGCAGACAGAGACAAUCACGGUCUCCAGGCCUCAGUUUUCUCUUCUGUAAAAUGGGGAUCAUAAUAUCUAUCUUCUCUGCAGGGUUAUUAUGAAGAUUAAGUAAAAAUAAUAGAAAAAAAUGAAUGGAUACAAAAACUGAUGAAAUCCAAGUCAAGUUUCUAGUGUAGUUGAUUAUAUUCUGCCAAUGUCAAUCUCUUGGUUUUGAUAAUGUACUAUAGUUAUGUGAGAUGUCACCAUUAGGUGAAGCUGGUGAAGCAUACGUGGGAAUCACUCCAUAUAUUUUUACAAAUCCUUGUGAGUCUAUAAUUAUUUCAGAAUAAAGGCUGGGGCACAGUGGCUCAUACCUCUAAUCCCAGCACUUUGGGAGGCCAAGGCAGGAAGAUCACCUGAGUCCAGGAGUUCAAGACCAGCCUGAGCAACAAAGUGAAACCCCAUCUCCACACACACACACACACACACACACACACACACACACACACACACAAAGAAAAAAAAAAGGAAAGAAAAAAUUAGCCAAGUGUGAUGGCAUACUCCCGUAGUCCCAGCUACAUGGCAGGAUGAGGCAGGAGGGUCACUUGAGUCCAGGAGGUUGAGGCUGCAGUGAGCUGUGUUUGCGCCACUGCACUCCAGCCUGGGUGACAGAGUGACACCCUGUCUCAAACAAAUAAAAAAAAAUGGGUUAAAAGAAAUAGGAACCAUUUAUUAUGUGGCAAUGCUGCAAUAAGCGCUUUACUAUCUCAUUUAAUUCUCAAAACAACUCUGUGUGGAAGUUACUGAAGCACUGAGAAAGGUAAUUUGCCCACAGGCUACCAGGCUGGAAGUGGCAGUGCAGGGAACAGAACCCCAAGGUGGUCUUGCUCUUCAACACCAUGUAAUAGCUAGAGCUUGAGAUCCUCAUCUGGGACAAUAUCUGACAUUUGGUAGGCAGAAAAUAAUAUAGUUCAGAUUUUCUUAACAGCAAACAGAAAUAGGAAACCCCUUGCAGCAGAAGCUGCUGGUGCCUUACCUAUUGCCCACACCCCAACCACUUCUGUGCACCUGGCUCCACCUCUUAGUGCCACACCAGCAUUUCUCUGCUUAAGAACUUUCUCUGAUCAUGUUUUUUAUCCGGCUUAGCUUGCCCAUGUGGGCAGGUGACAAGUGCAAGGGAGGUAAUGCCCCCACCCAGAGCAGCCGCCAGCUGGUGAUCCUGGUAGUUGGUGUAUACACACUCCGGCUCCCUCACUGAGAAGUGUGCUUUGCAGGGCUCCCUGCAGAUGUCAGCUCCAGCGCCCACGGCAGUCACUGGCUAAUAAUAUACUCUACCAGUCGCCUUUCCUUCCCCAGUUGCACUUCCCUACUCCUCUACUGGCGUUUCCUGGGAUCCCCUCUCAAAUAAGCCAUUUGUAUGUGAGUACCUGUCUCAGGUCUGUCUUAGGGGAACCCUAACGAUGACAUCUCCAUUCCAUAGAAGAAAUGGUAUUCCUAAACAAUUGUGUAUACAUUGAAAACAUGCUAUACAUUCAGCAGAGAAGCUUAAAAUCUAAAGCAUUCUAAAGACUCUUUUGCCUAUAGAGAAUGAAGUACUACAUCUUAAUUUACCUUAUGGUAGAUCUGGAUUUGAGAAUAUAUUGCUGAGUUUAGGCCUAUUGAGGAUAGAACAGUAAAGCCAAUCUCUGGUUACCUGUUGUAAUGGGAAGGCAUUAUUGGCAUGAAUUAUUGAAACGAAAUGACCUCUAGACACAGUGGCUGACGCCUGUAAUCCCAACACUUUUGGAGGCCAGUGUGGGAGGAUCGCUAGAGCCCAGUAGUUCGAGACCAGCCUGGGAAACCGUCCAGGACGCUGUCUCUACAAAAAAAAAAUUUUUUUUUAAUUAGCCAGGUGUGGUAGAAUGCAUGUGCAGUCUCAGCUACUCUGGAGGCUGAGGUGGGAGGAAUACUUGAGCCCAGGAGUUCAAGGCUGCAGUAAGCUAUGAUCGUG